This 468-nucleotide ribosomal RNA is filed under the name uncultured bacterium. RNAcentral describes it as "partial 16S ribosomal RNA". It matches the Rfam family "Bacterial small subunit ribosomal RNA", at positions 28 to 507 of the family's 1533-position model. The record is from RNAcentral.
GACGAACGCUGGCGGCGUGCUUAACACAUGCAAGUCGAACGGAAAGGCCCUGCUUUUGUGGGGUGCUCGAGUGGCGAACGGGUGAGUAACCCGUGAGUAACCUGCCCUUGACUUUGGGAUAACUUCAGGAAACUGGGGAUAAUACCGGCUAGGAGCUCCUGCUGCAUGGUGGGGGUUGGAAAGUUUCGGCGGUUGGGGAUGGACUCGCGGCUUAUCAGCUUGUGGGUGGGGUAGUGGCUUACCCAGGGUUUGGCGGGUAGCCGGCCUGGGAGGGUGACCGGCCACAUUGGGACUGAGGUACGGCCCAGACUCCUACGGGAGGCAGCAGGGGGGAAUAUUGCACAAUGGGCGGAAGCCUGAUGCAGCAACGCCGCGUGCGUGAUGACGGCCUUCGGGUUGUAAACCGCUUUCGCCUGUGACGAAGCGUGAGUGACGGUAAUGGGUAAAGAAGCACCGGCUAACUACGUG